RNAcentral lists this ribosomal RNA (39 nucleotides) under Pseudogymnoascus sp. BL308. RNAcentral's name for it is "partial 18S ribosomal RNA". The record is from RNAcentral. Lineage: Eukaryota; Fungi; Ascomycota; Leotiomycetes; Thelebolales; Thelebolaceae.
GUAACAAGGUUUCCGUAGGUGAACCUGCGGAAGGAUCAU